This 371-nucleotide ribosomal RNA is filed under the name uncultured organism. RNAcentral describes it as "partial 16S ribosomal RNA". It matches the Rfam family "Bacterial small subunit ribosomal RNA", at positions 527 to 896 of the family's 1533-position model. The record is from RNAcentral.
GUAGGGUGCAAGCGUUAAUCGGAAUUACUGGGCGUAAAGCGUGCGCAGGCGGUUUUGUAAGUCUGUCGUGAAAGCCCCGGGCUCAACCUGGGAAUUGCGAUGGAGACUGCAAGGCUUGAAUCUGGCAGAGGGGGGUAGAAUUCCACGUGUAGCAGUGAAAUGCGUAGAGAUGUGGAGGAACACCGAUGGCGAAGGCAGCCCCCUGGGUCAAGAUUGACGCUCAUGCACGAAAGCGUGGGGGGAGCAAACAGGAUUAGAUACCCUGGUAGUCCACGCCCCUAAGCGAUGUCUACUAGUUGUCGGGUUUUAAUUAACUUGGUAACGCAGCCAACGCGUGAAGUAGACCGCCUGGGAGUACGGUCGCAAGAUUA